Long non-coding RNA from Columba livia (rock pigeon), 505 nucleotides. RefSeq lists it as uncharacterized. NCBI's taxonomy places the organism in Eukaryota, Metazoa, Chordata, Aves, Columbiformes, Columbidae. The record is from RefSeq and is a predicted model, not a curated record. The transcript has 4 exons.
CACCCCUCCCCCUUGCUUUGAAAAAGCCUCCGGGAGCCCACCAGGUGCUGGGAGCUGAAGAAAAUGCAUUUGAAGCUUACUCUUGUCAGCUCCUGACAAACUAUCAGCAAAUUACACAGACGAGAUAGUACCCUGAAAUGUAAAAACUCUGCCAAGGACUGAUAUUGGCCGUGAUCCCCAGAUACCAAGUACCAUGACUGAAAAGGCAGGUCUGCAAUCCCAGAUGAUGAAACCAUCAGUAUUCAGUGAAAGACCCAGGAAAUAACUGAGUAACUCAGUAGUGGACCUGAAUUCUUCCCAAGUAAAUACCUUCAUAAAACAGUAGAUCAAAUCAAGCACUACGAGUCUGAGGAACUUCCUGAGAUGAAGGCUCCAGACUUCUGUGUUCAAUAGAGAGGAUGGGCCCAUCCUCAGUCCUUUCAAGAAUCUAAUUAAACUUUUGGCUUCUGCAUCAUCUUGUGGCAAUGAGUUCCACAAUUUAAUUACAGGCGUGAUACAAUAAAGC